UCCGUCUUGACGACGGCAGUCUCGCGCGACACUUGUAACGCACGAUGAGGGUUGCGCUCGUUCCCGGACUUAACCGAACAGUUCACACCACGAGCUGACGACAACCAUGCAGCACCUGUACCACGAGCUCCCGUGAGGGCACUCCCGCAUUUCUGCAGGAUUCUUGUGGCUUUCAAGACCUGGAUAAGGUUUUUCGUUUGUCGUCGAAUUGAACCUCAUGUUCCACCGCUUGUGCGGGUCCCCGUCUAUUCCUUUGAGUUUUAGCCUUGCGGCCGUACUUCCCAGGCGGCGCACUUACCGCGUUAGCUACGACACGGAAACGUCAGUGGUCCCCAUGCCUCGUGCGCAUCGUUUACGGCGUGGACUAC
Molecule: unclassified non-coding RNA, 368 nt
Filed under: uncultured bacterium
Lineage: Bacteria
Description: contains 16S-23S intergenic spacer region
Source: RNAcentral